CAUUGAGAGUAUACUCUCAUCCACCGAACUUGUGCUUCUGCUAGGGUCAAAAAUGGUGUCAUCAACUGGGCGAGGGAUGUUCAGUUCAGAAGUAUACGAAACUAGAGAUUCCCCUUCAACAGAAAUUUGGCGUUGAUACUCCGGUGACGUCAAGGCGUAUGCGAUCAUACUUGUGGGUUCAUCAUCAUACACCGGAACAACGAUAUCAUUGAUGCCUACGGGAAGAAGUAGCCUUGGUCCACCUUGAAGCUCUGCCUCUCUAAAAGAUGAAAUAUAGACAGGGCUAUGCUCUCCAAAUGUAUCGAGCUUCUGAGAGCUAAGCAAAAAAUUCUUGUUGAUGGAGCGGUAGAAAUUGAGGAAUGGCACACCUAACCAGCUUACAGAAUCUUCUGAGCUCUCAUAAUCUUUACUCGGUAGAGCAGGUGAAACUGGAUACGCCACCUUGAAUUCGUUUUGCUGUUCUGGGAGAUCUAUUGGAGGGAAAGUUGAAGAGUUUGAAGGAGGAAGCAAGAUCUUAGUAUUGGUUGGAAUCUCCCCUGAUGUCUGACGCUCGCCUAUCCAUGCUGCAUCAAGAGUAGCUGAUAGAUUUUUCAUAACUAUCUCGCCAUCAGACUGUGUCCUGCGAACAUCGAGUUUACUUUCCAGAGGUUCAGAACUAUCAGGUAAGGUCUUGCUGGGAGAGACUUCUCCACCAUCUUCCUUUUCCGGAUUCAUAUCUAAAUUCGUAUCCGCUUCCUUCUGAACCUUAGUGUCAUCGGUAGAAACACCAUCAGGAUUCUGAUCAACCUCUGAGCCAGAAAGAAGAGAGUUAGUCCCAGCAUUCAUCUCGGGGAGGGUCUGGCUCUUAGCCAAGGGUACUUUCUCAUUUUCAUCACUACUCUCAAUCUUAGAUAAACUUGAUGCAUUAAUCAAGCGGUGAUCCCACAUAUAUGACUGAAAAAUCAGCUGCCUGCGAAGCCGGUACAGCUCAAGAAUAUCCACUUGAGGUUGGCCUUCCUUCACCUCCCUGUGCAACAUCAUCUUUUGAAUAUUAUCCUGAAAGAAAUGUCAGAACGUUACAAAACAAAACCUUUUGUCUUAAAAAUAAUAAUUGUAGUAUAUUGGUUUUAAGAAAACUCUUUAAUACAUAAUUUAUUACCUCGAACUCUGCUUUCUCUCUUUGCAGCAAUUCUUCGAGUUCACCAAUUCGACGCCUAAAACCUUUUGCUGCAAUUUGACUAAUAGCAUUCAAUACUUCAGAAAACAGAAGCUCUGCUCUCUCUACCACCUGAAUAAUAAAAGGGAAGACAAGUCAGUUAAAAUGUGUGAGAUUUCAAAACCGCAUCCCAGUAAAAUCACAGAUAUUUAACCUCAUCUGUCUCUCUCUGUAUCCAGUCCUGAUUAUCAUAGUUGAAACUAAGAACUGAUGGUGGAAGGUAGACAGAAUUAACAUCUAUAGUAGCGUAACGGAAGCAAGCAACCAUGUUCCCGAAUCUGCAUGGGUACAACUUGUUAGAGCAAAGGAAUACAGAAUUUUUCAGACAUGUUUCACCAUUUUGAAAGUACCCGUAGAAACGAAGACAGUCUCUAUGGAGAGAGUGGCCACAACAUGCUACUCUACUGGCAGCUGCGUGAUUUGAGAAACUGAGCUCCAGAAACUUCCCAAAGGAUAAUCCCCAUGCAGCAUCAGACAUCACCACUCGUAGAGUCGCGGGAGGAAAACCGUCAGGUCGAGGGCAUCUCAGGCAUCUAUGCCACAUCCAAAUCUUCCCCUCCUUUUCACCAGGUAAGAGACAAUCUUGAAGCUUCUUGACAGAUAUCGUAAGGCUGCCUUGUCGAUGAGUGUAACAGUGAACGUGAGCUUCUGAUGGCAUCUCACAUGAACGACACCUGUAACCCUGCAAUUCGAGCAUGUAUUUAAGUUACCAUAUUAAUAUGUAAGCUGCAGUAGAGAAGUCACACUGUAAAACAUAUAUAAAGUAGAAAAAAACCUACCUGAUCGAACAAAUGAUCUCUCAAGAACCGUCCCAAGGGUUUAUCGAAACUACCAUAGUACUUUAUCCGGAAGAGAUGAGACCUCUCACACACAGUUCCUUUCCACACUGAUCUGGACGAUAGAGAAACCAAGAUGCUUUGGUGAUCAGAGGGUGCCGGAGGAAACUCCUCUUUUUGAGAUUGUGGUUCCUUUGGAGUCUCACUGUUUUGUUGUUGGAUGGCCGUAAACUCUGUACCAUUGUCCUGGUUUUCUACUACAACGCUCUUACUACUUUGAGAACUCUGUGGCACAACGCCUUGCCCUGAUGAAUGUAGGGAACUGUCCAAUAUGUCUGUUGGGUUGCUUUUGUCGGCCAGUGCAGAUCUUUCAGAAAAAUCUGCGUUUCUUCCAGCUAUCAAACGGUCAGGCAAAUUCAAUGGAACAUUAUAGCGUGAAAAUGUGAAACCCGGAGUUCCUUCUCUACCCUGCCAGCCUGAACCAUUGGGUAUCAGAGGGUUUAUGUCCUUCUGGAUGGAUACAUUAGCAGUGGUUGAAAGCAACUCAGAUGCUGGGACACUGUUUGCUCGCUGUGGUUCGGAACCAGUUAGCAUUGUUGGAGACUUUUCAUAUGCAGAGACCAUGAAACCUGGCACAGUAGAUAUCGAACGUUCAAUGCUCAUGGAUUUAUCUGGAAGAGCUACCGUAAUCGGGGAGUUCAAGGGGAGUUCUGGUGAGGCUCCUUCGUCAGCAAGAAACGAUGUCUCCAGUGCCAAAUGAUAAGCUGCGAAAACUCCAUAUUGGACCACAUGCUUCACUUUUUUCAACUCUUCUUCAUUAGCACCCCUAAGCAAAAUCUGAUGAAGAGAGAACACAAAAAAAAAAACAAGAAGUAGUUAUGAAGCAAUCAGAUAUAAGAGAUCUGCUCAGCGUUUUUUUUUUUAAUUCUAAUGGCUAGGAGUGCUUACUGUAAAGCCUAAAGGCCUUGGACAACCCUCAAAAUACAUCAACGUCUUCACUACUUUCUUUCCAGCUUGACCAGCUGAACCAUGUUCUUCAAGAAACCUAUCCACACGAAAAUUCUCACAGUAACCCAGCUUUUGAGAGGAGAGGUGGUCUACUGAAGGAAUUAUCUGAGCACCAGUGCAGCGAGCAAUGCGGUCUAAAAGUGGCCUCUUAAUGUUUAGAACAAGAGAUAUGUCUUUGGCUAGAAGGUACUCUUGCGCAAAUCGAGAAACUGAUUUUUCGACUAGUAGAAUGUUUGGACGUUCAGCGUGAAUCUUUGCAACAGCCAUCUUUAGAUGAUCCUUUUCCUGAUACACCAAAAUAAGUAAAAUGAGUUAAGGCAUAACUAAGCAAACUCCAUAUAUAACCACCAACGAGAAGAAACAAAAUAUUUCACCUGUUGCAACAAAGUAUCAAAACUCGAUAACUGGUUCGAGACCCUCUGAUACUCAAGCCCACCGCCUAGAAUCAAUAGUCGAGCGUUCUCAAUCUUCGCUCUCAUUCUCCUAUGAGCCACGUUUUUCUUGCAAACAACUCCUUUAACCACCAUGCUGUAAUUUGAUACACGGACAAAACUUCAUAUGUAUCCAGAUAAAAUGAAGCACUAUGGACUCAACAUUAGUCUUUUGAGAUUUAAGUUUUGUUGGUUCUGUUACCUAUCAUGUCGGAACCCGGAAGCUAAGCACUUAACUUUGACAUAGCCACCAGGAUCCAUUCCUCCACUUUUGCUCAUAUCAGGCUUCAAUAAGUUAGCCGCCUCCCAAGAAAGAGAGGUGAUGAUCUCUAACCAGCUCUCCUUCCCCUCUUCGUCGCUCACAGGGAUGUUCUCGACUUGCAACAACUGUGCAAGCAAAGCCCUAAAGUGCCCAUCAACCACAUUCUUCAUAGCCUUCUUGUGCUCUUCACUUGUUCGAUCCUCGCUACGGUACUCUCCACUUCCAAAGCUAGCGGAAGGUCGCAAGUAUCCCCACUCACCUGAGGCAUCUCCCUCAUUAUCUUCCUCAUCAUACAAAGGACUUUCUCUCUCAUCUUCUUCAUUUUCCGGGUCAGGUGGGACCCACAAAAGUCCAUUGUUCUCGAAAUCCACCGGUUCCGCCACUUGGUCAUCUGGCGGAGAAGGAGCUUCAGAUUCGUCACGACCAUCAUGCUCGUCUUUCUUCUGGAACUGCUCUGCUCCUUCCCCAAUCAGAGACUCAAGACAAUGGUGAAUGAGUGGAGAGCCGCUUAAACUUUUCUGGUCAGAGGUUUCGCCACUAAGAUGCUUACAGAGCCCAUCACCACCUAUGCUCGUCUCCUCAUAUUCCAUUGGCCCAUAAUAUUGAUUAGCUUGAGGAGAAUGGCUCGUAUCAAUAUCAGUCUGGUAUACACCAUACUCAUCGUACUCAUCAUCACUCCUGAUACAUAAAGGAAAAGAAAAGAAAAAAACAAAUUACCCACAAGACCUACCCUAGAGCUUGUUUGCAGUUCAGAAGAAAAGAGUACCUAUUUGAAGCAAAGCGAGAUGGAUCUUGCACAUCUGUAGCGAUGAAGCUGUUCCUCCUCGAAGUUUCUUUGCCUUUUCUCGUCGUGCCUGCCUCCAUAGACGAUACACCAUGCAAACUGACAUCAGAACCACGUUGAGCCCUUUGGUAAGGACCAACUAACCCCGGCAUGGAGCCAAGAGCGAAGCUACUACUAUUAGCAGUGGUACUAGUCUUCGAGCUAAGAAGACUGGACUCCGAAGGCGAGGUGCUAAGCUCAGGGACAUUCGAAACGUGAGCCCCACCAUCACCUUGCUCCUCCCACUGCCUGAAACAAUAAUUACAAACACGGAUCCUCUCCCACUCCUCCCGAGGAGCUCUCAAGUCACUCCCAGCCAAAGGUAUAGAGUUGGCAGUACACUUGCCGCAGAAAACUCUCCCACAGAGACGGCAGUGGUGCCUGCGGUUGAUGAGAGUAAACUGACAGUCACACUCGUAGCAAACACGACAGCUCUGAUCAGGCAUCCAGAAGUCCCUGGACACGGUAGCUGGCUCUGAUCGCCAGGGGAUCCAGGAUUUGACCAGACCCACAAUCUCGGAGAGUGUCUUGUUACUACUACUAUCUCUUGUAUCCAUCUAAAACCUCCCCAACCAUAAUGCUAUGACGGUCAUGGAAAGUCUAUAGAAAUCCAAAACUUUACCCUAAUCAAGAGAGAUAAACGCUAAAACAAUGCUUUGAUCCGGAUCCAAUUAUCACGAAAUCAAUUGGGGGCGAUCAAAGAAACGUUUUUUUUUUUUUUUUCUUUUCAAAAUCGAGCAAAUUCAUCAUCAUCAGGGAUCAAUCAUCUGCAGAAUUGAAAUCGAAAUUCGAAACUUUUGGAAACCCAAAUGAAGUGAUCGCAUGGGAUUUACCUAAAAGAGAAAGCUUGAGGAGUCACGAGAAGGAGAAGAUCGUCUUGUGUUUUUGAUUGACUGAUAAUUCAUGGCAGGGAUAGCGACAUCGUCAAUAAUCCGCGUCUUACAGUUUUAAAUUCAUUACACCGUCGCGUACCUAAUCUUAACUCCCCACACCAUUAUUAUUACAUUUAAUUUUUUGCCUAAUUUAUGAUUUUUUUUUAUAUAUUCAGGUAUAUGAUUUGGCGCAGAAUAUCUGAUAUAUAUGGACCAAAAUACUUUCGAAAUCCCAUAAUUGCAGUUAUUAAUACUGAAAAAUUACUCAAUGACUCUGGUUUUUUUUUCUUUAAAAGGAAAUUGAGGAUCGUCGUCAACAAACCAAAAAAAAGGAUAUUGAGAAUAUUAGGAAAAAAGUAAAUGAGAAUCAAUAGCACAUACUUUCAAAUGUAUAUUACAAGUAUUGAGAACUCGUCGAGAAAAUAUUUUACAAUAAGAAAAAUAAUUAAAGGGAGAAUAUAAGUUCAAUUUCUUAAAUGAGAAUCUUUGAAAAAUCAUAAAAUUUUAUAAGGUGCAUUUGUCUCUCACAGAUUCACUCAGUUUUUUAUUUAGAAUUAAUUAAAUUAAAUUUAAUACAAUACUAAUAUUUUUAAGAUACUCUUGAAUUAAGUAUAUAAAGAAUAGAGAUAUCUUAACUAGCAAAAAAAAAUUAUAAAGAACUAAAAAAUAAUUUGGAAACUUUAAAUUUUAUAAAAUAGCCUGAGUUGAACCGAAGAAUAGUGCUCCCCAAUGCACUAACCAAUGCACAAAAACCAAUUUCUAUACAAGACAAAAAAGACUGAUAUAUUAUGAGGAUUCAUGUAUCACUCUGCUUGUGUACCGGCUUGAGAGGUUUCUUCAGGUUGAUCAGACCUGGAGUUAUUAGCAAUGACAUUAGGCGGAGACCAUUGAUCAGGAACCAUGAGGAAGUAAGUCGUCAUGGCCUUUCUGAAUCUUCUCUUGUAUUGCUUUGGAGAGAUAACCGUUGGUGCUUCAUUCUUUGGUCCUCCUAAGAUUCCCGUAAAUUUCACCCAAGACUCUAGAUGUUUGUCCCAUGUGUACUGCCUCAAGAAGUCGAUAAUCCCGAGAACUAACUCGUUCUUUUCUUCAUCUACGCCUACUAGCAAGGAGUAAUCCAUCACAUCACCCAACUGCAAACACAAAGACGAUACAAAACGUUUACAAUAGAGUACAGAUGAGUAAAUGAUUUGCAAGAGAGUAAAACUCACUGCAAGAAAAGCAGUAUCGUUCCAGACAGCUCUUUCCAACAAUCGUUUUGCUUUGUUACCAACGAAGAUGGGAGAAGUUGGCAUUGCUUCAAUCAAGUUCUGAUCCAACAAGACCUUGUUGCUCCCACUAGCGUCAGGGUUGUAUCGCGCUCGGGAUGAUCCUUUGAGGUCGUAAAGCCGCUUCACAGUUCUUCCAAAGAGAAGAUUCUCCAUUAUCAGAACAUCCAUCUUUGUUUCUUUCCCGCUCUUAAGUUGCUUUGUUGCGACCUAUAAACACAAAUACAUACUCUCAUCAAGAAUGAAUCAAACCUGACCAGAAAAAAAUCUCUCUCAACUUAGCAAUUAGUACCUGAUAGAUUCCCAAGAUUUUUGCCAAACAAGUUGGACUUUUCGUGCUGAUAGACUCAGAUAAAUAUUUGAAGUAAGCAGGUGCAAACUUGAUGAACGAUUCAAGUUCUGUCUUGGUGACUUGCUUGAUGAUGAAACGAUCGUCAAGGGUUUUAGCAAAGAAGACAUUGCUCUUCCCACCUUGAGCUCCCCAUUUCUUACACCGGCUAAGAGACCUUAUAUACUCAAGUUCCGAAGGGAUACAUAUACCUCUCAAGGCCUCAAACCGUUUUGCAUAGUAGCAAGUAACCGUGUACUUCACUUUUCCAAGAGUGCCGUCUUCUCCGUAUGAGACACGAGCAUGUAAAGCUUUUGUAUACGAGAGCGGGUCCAGACUGCGAGAUGAGGACAUUGAAAGUAUACUCUCAUCCACCGAACUUGUGCUUCUGCUAGGAUCAAAAAUGGUGUCAUCAACUGGGCGAGGGAUGUUCAGUUCAGAAGUAUACGAAACUAGAGAUUCCCCUUCAAGAGAUAUUUGGCGUUGAUACUCAGGUGACGUCAAGGCGUAUGCGAUCAUACUUGUGGGUUCAUCAUCAUACACCGGAACAACGAUAUCAUUGAUGCCUACGGGAAGAAGUAGCCUUGGUCCACCUUGAAGCUCUGCCUCUCUAAAAGAUGAAAUAUAGACAGGGCUAUGCUCU
This 7603-nucleotide long non-coding RNA is filed under the name Brassica napus (rape). RNAcentral describes it as "long non-coding RNA (BNAP_LNC026390)". Lineage: Eukaryota; Viridiplantae; Streptophyta; Magnoliopsida; Brassicales; Brassicaceae. The record is from RNAcentral.